Molecule: ribosomal RNA, 492 nt
Filed under: uncultured bacterium
Lineage: Bacteria
Description: partial 16S ribosomal RNA
Rfam family: Bacterial small subunit ribosomal RNA
Source: RNAcentral
AGUGAACGCUGGCGGGAUGCUUUACACAUGCAAGUCGAACGGCAGCGCAGUAAGCGGUUUCUCGUACGGGGGGCGACGGGCGGGUGAGUGAGCGAAACAUCCCCAUUUACUUUUUCGAGCUGGGCAACGGCGUAAAACAUACGCCAAAAGCCCUUCCGACCUACGCGUGAAAUCAUAAGACCUUGCGACCUUGCACCGUUCAAUGAGCCGAUGUCGGAUUAGCUAGUUGGCGGGGUAAAGGCUCACCAAGGCGACGAUCCGUAGCUGGUCUGAGAGGACGACCAGCCACACUGGAACUGAGACACGGUCCAGACUCCUACGGGAGGCAGCAGUGGGGAAUAUUGGACAAUGGGCGCAAGCCUGAUCCAGCCAUACCGCGUGGGUGAUGAAGGCCUUCGGGUUGUAAAGCCCUUUUGUUAGGAAAGAAACGUCGCAGGCUAAUACCCCGCGGUACUGACGGUACCUAAAGAAUAAGCACCGGCUAACUUCGUG